This is a long non-coding RNA of Trichoplusia ni (cabbage looper), 770 nucleotides long. RefSeq lists it as uncharacterized. The transcript is spliced from 2 exons. The record is from RefSeq and is a predicted model, not a curated record. NCBI's taxonomy places the organism in Eukaryota, Metazoa, Arthropoda, Insecta, Lepidoptera, Noctuidae.
CUUCAAAUAGUUAAGUUACUUUUGUAAUUUGAUUUUAUUAAAAAGUGUUAUAACGAAGAAGUCUCGAGUACUCAUUUAUAUCGCCACCGUAGUCACGAUACCGACUCACCGCUUGAAACCACGACGCAAAAACAAAACUGGCGCAGUCGGUAGGAUAAUUCGUCAAGAUUCGUCGGUAACACGUUCCUGUAGAAAAGAACCAUUUACGCAAGAAAUCCUGAGAAGUCCACAUCGUCUAACUACGAAGUACAACUGAGUGAGUACAGCAAACGAAGAGAAGACUCCUUGAUGAGCGAGCACCUCUCCGGGACAAAUUCUUCGAACACAAUCAAGUUCAAAUCUGAAAUUCGGUAAUCCACUAAGCGAAGCAUGUUUAGCUAUACGACUAGAAAAAGCGAAAAAGGAACCUAACGAAACUAGGAAUGAUGUUCUGCAAAAUAUCUGGGCUUUAUAUACGAAAAGUGAAGCCAACAAGAGUGAAACUGACUCAUAUCUUAGCGGAUUAGGUACGGUCGUAAAGUGUAGGCUUGUAGAUUAGGUGAUCAUAAAAUCUUUUGUUCACAAGUCACCAACCGUAACUAAAUGAUGAUUUACGAGCGAGAGCUACUGAUAAGUUCCAUAUUUGACGAAACUGUUACAAUGUAUAAAUUAAUUUUACGAGCGAGAGCUACUUAGUGGUUUCACACUGCUAUGUAUGACUAAUUAAUGUGAUAACAUAACUCCUCCAUUCUUAGAUUGAAAUAAUCUAAUAAAUUAAUUAAUUAAUGCAA